This 950-nucleotide ribosomal RNA is filed under the name uncultured bacterium. RNAcentral's name for it is "bacterial SSU rRNA". It matches the Rfam family "Bacterial small subunit ribosomal RNA", at positions 508 to 1459 of the family's 1533-position model. The record is from RNAcentral.
CCANCAGCCGCGGUAAUACGUAGGUCCCGAGCGUUGUCCGGAUUUAUUGGGCGUAAAGGGAGCGCAGGCGGUCAGGAAAGUCUGGAGUAAAAGGCUAUGGCUCAACCAUAGUGUGCUCUGGAAACUGUCUGACUUGAGUGCAGAAGGGGAGAGUGGAAUUCCAUGUGUAGCGGUGAAAUGCGUAGAUAUAUGGAGGAACACCAGUGGCGAAAGCGGCUCUCUGGUCUGUCACUGACGCUGAGGCUCGAAAGCGUGGGUAGCGAACAGGAUUAGAUACCCUGGUAGUCCACGCCGUAAACGAUGAGUGCUAGGUGUUAGGCCCUUCCGGGGCUUAGUGCCGGAGCUAACGCAAUAAGCACUCCGCCUGGGGAGUACGACCGCAAGGUUGAAACUCAAAGGAAUUGACGGGGGCCCGCACAAGCGGUGGAGCAUGUGGUUUAAUUCGAAGCAACGCGAAGAACCUUACCAGGUCUUGACAUCCCGAUGCUAUUCUUAGAGAUAGGAAGUUACUUCGGUACAUCGGAGACAGGUGGUGCAUGGUUGUCGUCAGCUCGUGUCGUGAGAUGUUGGGUUAAGUCCCGCAACGAGCGCAACCCUUAUUGUUAGUUGCCAUCAUUAAGUUGGGCACUCUAGCGAGACUGCCGGUAAUAAACCGGAGGAAGGUGGGGAUGACGUCAAAUCAUCAUGCCCCUUAUGACCUGGGCUACACACGUGCUACAAUGGUCGGUACAACGAGUUGCGAGCCGGUGACGGCAAGCUAAUCUCUGAAAGCCGAUCUCAGUUCGGAUUGGAGGCUGCAACUCGCCUCCAUGAAGUCGGAAUCGCUAGUAAUCGCGGAUCAGCACGCCGCGGUGAAUACGUUCCCGGGCCUUGUACACACCGCCCGUCACACCACGAGAGUUUGUAACACCCGAAGUCGGUGAGGUAACCUUUUAGGGGCCAGCCGCCUA